ACCGAUUUUUAAUUUACAAAUUACGCACAACAAAAGAAGAUAAUGGCGUUUAAGACUUAGUUUGGUAUUGAGAUUCAUCUAACGCUAUUAGAUAGAAUGGAGUUGAGAAAAAGUAUAUAGAAAUAUAUUUCUGCGUUCUCCAAUAGUAUCGCAGAAAAUAUAUCGUAACUGACUAACCGCAAUAUACGAAACGUAAUAUUACGUACGGAAACAAACAUAAUAUUUUUGCAUCGUCGUUUCUCACCGCACGUGCCUCAUUUUCUCUCUCUCCCAUUACUAUACUCGAAUUCAAAAGUU
RNAcentral lists this long non-coding RNA (297 nucleotides) under Ananas comosus (pineapple). RNAcentral describes it as "long non-coding RNA (ACOM_LNC011047)". The record is from RNAcentral. Lineage: Eukaryota; Viridiplantae; Streptophyta; Magnoliopsida; Poales; Bromeliaceae.